RNAcentral lists this ribosomal RNA (787 nucleotides) under uncultured euryarchaeote. Its description in RNAcentral is "bacterial SSU rRNA". It matches the Rfam family "Archaeal small subunit ribosomal RNA", at positions 85 to 876 of the family's 1478-position model. The record is from RNAcentral. Lineage: Archaea; Methanobacteriati; Methanobacteriota.
ACGGCUCAGUAACACGUAGGUAACCUACCCUUCGGACGGGCACAACCCCGGGAAACUGGGCUAAUUCCCGAUAGGUACCCCCUUCUGGAAUGUGGGGAUAUCCAAAGCCCCGGCGCCGAAGGAUGGGCCUGCGGCCGAUUAGGUUGUUGGCGGGGUAACAGCCCACCAAGCCGACGAUCGGUACGGGCAGUGAGAGCUGUAGCCCGGAGAUGGGGACUGAGACAAGGCCCCAGGCCCUACGGGGCGCAGCAGGCGCGAAACCUUCACAAUGCACGAAAGUGUGAUGAGGGUACUCCGAGUGCGCAUACAUUGUAUGUGCUUUUCUGCAGCGUAAAUAGUUGCAGGAAUAAGGGCUGGGCAAGACCGGUGCCAGCCGCCGCGGUAACACCGGCAGCCCUAGUGGUGGCCGCUUUUAUUGGGCCUAAAGCGUCCGUAGCCGGACAGGCGAGUCUUUGGGUAAAUCCUACGUCUUAAGCGUGGGAAUUCUAAAGAUACUACCUGUCUUGAGGCCGGGAGAGGCUGGAGGUACUCCUGGGGUAGGGGUAAAAUCCUAUAAUCCUGGGGGGACCACCGAUGGCGAAGGCAUCCAGCUGGAACGGGCCUGACGGUGAGGGACGAAACCCAGGGGAGCGAGCCGGAUUAGAUACCCGGGUAGUCCUGGGCGUAAAUGAUGUGGGCUUGGUGUGAGCGCAUCGACGAGGUGCGCUUGUGCCGUAGGGAAGCCGUUAAGCCCACCGCCUGGGGAGUACGGUCGCAAGGCUGAAACUUAAAGGAAUUGGCGGGGGAG